AUUCAACUGAUGAGGCCCGAAUAGGACGAAAUGCGCAUUCUGGAU
RNAcentral lists this non-coding RNA (45 nucleotides) under Trichobilharzia regenti. Lineage: Eukaryota; Metazoa; Platyhelminthes; Trematoda; Strigeidida; Schistosomatidae. The record is from RNAcentral.